ACGCUCGACACCUACGGGGGCAGCAGUUAGGAAUAUUGGGCAAUGGAGGAAACUCUGACCCAGCAACGCCGCGUGAAGGAAGAAGGUUUUCGGAUUGUAAACUUCUGAUCUAGGGGAAGAAGGAAGUGACGGUACCCUAGGAGAAAGCCACGGCUAACUACGUGCCAACAGCCGCGGUAAUCUGAGCGGGCUGGCAAGGC
Molecule: ribosomal RNA, 200 nt
Filed under: uncultured bacterium
Lineage: Bacteria
Description: partial 16S ribosomal RNA
Rfam family: Bacterial small subunit ribosomal RNA
Source: RNAcentral